CCUAGUAACUGCGAGUGAAGCGGGAAAAGCUCAAAUUUAAAAUCUGACAGUCUUUGGCUGUCCGAGUUGUAAUCUAGAGAAGUGCUAUCCGCGCUGGACCGUGUACAAGUCUCCUGGAAUGGAGCGUCAUAGAGGGUGAGAAUCCCGUCUCUGACACGGACUACCAGGGCUUUUGUGAUGCGCUCUCAAAGAGUCGAGUUGUUUGGGAAUGCAGCUCUAAAUGGGUGGUAAAUUCCAUCUAAAGCUAAAUAUUGGCGAGAGACCGAUAGCGAACAAGUACCGUGAGGGAAAGAUGAAAAGAACUUUGGAAAGAGAGUUAAACAGUACGUGAAAUUGUUGAAAGGGAAACGCUUGAAGUCAGUCGCAUUGGCCAGGGAUCAACCUUGCUCUUUUGCUUGGUGUACUUUCUGGUUGAUGGGUCAGCAUCAAUUUUGACUGGUGGAAAAAGGUCAGGGGAAUGUGGCAUCUUUGGAUGUGUUAUAGCCCUUGAUUGUAUACAUCGGUUGGGAUUGAGGAACUCAGCAUGCCGCAAGGCCGGGUUUUUAACCACGUACAUGCUUAGGAUGCUGGCAUAAUGGCUUUAAUCGACCCGUCUUGAAACACGGACCAAGGAGUCUAACAUGCCUGCGAGUAUUUGGGUGGAAAACCCAUGUGCGCAAUGAAAGUGAAGAUCAGGAUCUCUGUCAUGGAGAGCACUGAUGCCCGGACCAGACCUUUUGUGACGGAUCUGCGGUAGAGCAAGCAUGUUGGGACCCGAAAGAUGGUGAACUAUGCCUGAAUAGGGUGAAGCCAGAGGAAACUCUGGUGGAGGCUCGUAGCGAUUCUGACGUGCAAAUCGAUCGUCAAAUUUGGGUAUAGGGG
RNAcentral lists this ribosomal RNA (861 nucleotides) under Xerophorus donadinii. RNAcentral's name for it is "partial large subunit ribosomal RNA". It matches the Rfam family "Eukaryotic large subunit ribosomal RNA", at positions 79 to 923 of the family's 3401-position model. The record is from RNAcentral. Lineage: Eukaryota; Fungi; Basidiomycota; Agaricomycetes; Agaricales; Callistosporiaceae.